RNAcentral lists this ribosomal RNA (714 nucleotides) under Scolecobasidium musae. Its description in RNAcentral is "Ochroconis musae partial large subunit ribosomal RNA". It matches the Rfam family "Eukaryotic large subunit ribosomal RNA", at positions 56 to 791 of the family's 3401-position model. The record is from RNAcentral. Lineage: Eukaryota; Fungi; Ascomycota; Dothideomycetes; Venturiales; Sympoventuriaceae.
AAGACCAACCGGGAUUGCCCUAGUAACGGCGAGUGAAGCGGCAACAGCUCAAAUUUGAAAUCUGGAGCCUUUGGCUUCCGAGUUGUAAUUUGCAGAGGGAGCCUCGGAGGGCGAGACGGUCCAAGUGCCUUGGAACAGGAUACCGCAGAGGGUGAGAGUCCCGUAUCCGGCCGAUCUUGCGCUCCGUGUGAGGCCCCUUCGACGAGUCGAGUUGUUUGGGAAUGCAGCUCCAAGCGGGUGGUAAAUUCCAUCUAAAGCUAAAUACUGGCCAGAGACCGAUAGCGAACAAGUAGAGUGAUCGAAAGAUGAAAAGCACUUUGAAAAGAGAGUCAAACAGUACGUGAAAUUGUUGAAAGGGAAGCGCAUGGGGGCAGACUUGGACGCGGGGUUCAGCGUUUCUAUUGGAGCGUGUACUUCCCCGCGUGCAGGCCAGCAUCGGUUCCGGGGGCCGGACAAAGACGUUGGGAAUGUGGCUCCCCUCGGGGAGUGUUAUAGCCCGGCGUGCAAUGCGGCCACCUGGGACCGAGGACCGCGCCUUGUGCAAGGAUGCUGGCGUAAUGGCCUCAUGCGGCCCGUCUUGAAACACGGACCAAGGAGUCUAACAUCUAUGCGAGUGUUUGGGUGGCAAGCCCGGACGCGCAAUGAAAGUGAACGGAGGUGGGAGUCUGUUACAGGACGCACCAUCGACCGAUCCGGACGUCUUCUGAAGGAUUU